This is a long non-coding RNA of Pollicipes pollicipes, 394 nucleotides long. RefSeq lists it as uncharacterized. The record is from RefSeq and is a predicted model, not a curated record. NCBI's taxonomy places the organism in Eukaryota, Metazoa, Arthropoda, Thecostraca, Pollicipedomorpha, Pollicipedidae. The transcript has 2 exons.
CAGCAGGGGGCGUGCAGUGGCCGGCGAUACGCGGUGCUGGGCGGGCGGGCAGUCAGCGCUCGCUUCAACGAAGAUCGGCGCAGCCCAGGGAACAUUGGUGUUGAGAACAGCCCUCCUCAUUACAUCAUGCCAGGAGGUGGAGGUGGAGGUGGAGGAGGAGGUGGAGGAGGAGGCGGAGGCGGUGGCGGCGGCGGCGGUGGUGGUGGUGGUGGCGGCGGCGGUGGCGGCGGCGGUGGCGGUGAAGAAUGAGGGCUAUUGUGUAUCUACGAGGGCCAGUCGAUGCGGCCUCUUGUCAAAUAAAUGACAACCGAAUAUAUUUGUUUAACCCUCGUCCAGAUCCGCCGUUUUUUUUCAUAACGCGGACUGGCUAGGGUUAAGGUCGGUGUAACCCGAA